GAUGAACGCUGGCGGCGUGCCUAAUACAUGCAAGUCGAGCGAACAGACGAGGAGCUUGCUCCUCUGACGUUAGCGGCGGACGGGUGAGUAACACGUGGAUAACCUACCUAUAAGACUGGGAUAACUUCGGGAAACCGGAGCUAAUACCGGAUAAUAUAUUGAACCGCAUGGUUCAAUAGUGAAAGACGGUUUUGCUGUCACUUAUAGAUGGAUCCGCGCCGCAUUAGCUAGUUGGUAAGGUAACGGCUUACCAAGGCAACGAUGCGUAGCCGACCCAAGAGGGUGAUCGGCCACACUGGAACUGAGACACGGUCCAGACUCCUACGGGAGGCAGCAGUAGGGAAUCUUCCGCAAUGGGCGAAAGCCUGACGGAGCAACGCCGCGUGAGUGAUGAAGGUCUUCGGAUCGUAAAACUCUGUUAUUAGGGAAGAACAAAUGUGUAAGUAACUAUGCACGUCUUGACGGUACCUAAUCAGAAAGCCACGGCUAACUACGUG
This 497-nucleotide ribosomal RNA is filed under the name uncultured bacterium. Its description in RNAcentral is "partial 16S ribosomal RNA". It matches the Rfam family "Bacterial small subunit ribosomal RNA", at positions 28 to 507 of the family's 1533-position model. The record is from RNAcentral.